Molecule: ribosomal RNA, 253 nt
Filed under: uncultured bacterium
Lineage: Bacteria
Description: partial 16S ribosomal RNA
Rfam family: Bacterial small subunit ribosomal RNA
Source: RNAcentral
UACGUAGGGGGCAAGCGUUGUCCGGAUUUACUGGGCGUAAAGAGCGCGUAGGCGGAAGCUUAAGUGUGGCCUGAAAGCCCCCGGCUCAACCGGGGAAGGUGGCUGCAAACUGGGCUUCUUGAGGGGGAUAGGGGAAAGUGGAAUUCCGGGUGUAGCGGUGAAAUGCGUAGAGAUCCGGAGGAACACCAGUGGCGAAGGCGGCUUUCUGGGUCCGCCCUGACGCUGAGGCGCGAAAGCGUGGGGAGCGAGCGGG